Molecule: ribosomal RNA, 447 nt
Filed under: uncultured bacterium
Lineage: Bacteria
Description: partial 16S ribosomal RNA
Rfam family: Bacterial small subunit ribosomal RNA
Source: RNAcentral
AGCGAACGCUGGCGGCAGGCUUAACACAUGCAAGUCGAACGGUCCUUCGGGAUAGUGGCGGACGGGUGAGUAACACGUGGGAACGUACCCUUAGGUUCGGAACAACACAGGGAAACUUGUGCUAAUACCGGAUAAGCCCUUCGGGGGAAAGAUUUAUCGCCCUUGGAGCGGCCCGCGUCUGAUUAGCUUGUUGGUGAGGUAAUGGCUCACCAAGGCUACGAUCAGUAGCUGGUCUGAGAGGAUGGCCAGCCACACUGGGACUGAGACACGGCCCAGACUCCAACGGGAGGCAGCAGUGGGGAAUCUUGCGCAAUGGGCGAAAGCCUGACGCAGCCAUGCCGCGUGGAUGAUGAAGGUCUUAGGAUUGUAAAAUCCUUUCACCGGGGACGAUAAUGACGGUACCCGGAGAAGAAGCCCCGGCUAACUUCGUGCCAGCCGCCGCAGUAA